GCUCCAUCAAUUUCUUUCUCAGACUAUAAAACAAAUUUUUUAUACAUGCUAUAACAUUAAAACUUGCCCACGUAUCUUUCCAAUUUCACAAUAUAUAACACAUUUUUAAUCUGUAAAAAUUCUCCAGCUAAAGAAUUAUUUGUUACAGAUAGAAAGAGUGUUAGCAUUUGAGAUUACUGUUUACAAUUAAAAAGAGUUUCCAAGUAGAGAAUCAACAACAGACACUACUUCUACGCUUCUCUCUCUGUUCACCUCCAACACAUUCAUCUUCUUCACCUGCAACACAUUCUUCUUCCUCCUACGUCACCUCUCAUACAAACCAUCUGUUAUAUCAGAGUUUCAAUACGACUAUGAAAAGGUAUUUCCUUUAUUGUGUUAUGUGAUAUAAGGAGAAUGUGUUUACCAUUUUGCAGAGGUUUCGUCCUCUCAGUGUCUUUGAAGCUUCUCAGCAUAAGCUUGAGCUGCUUUUGCUUCGGCUUCUGCUGACUCUGCUUCCUUUGUAGUGGUGUUGAUGCUUCAAUUUUUCUCCAUCACCAAUGAUGAUAGACAGGAGCAGAUUUACCAAUUCUUGGACAUGACUAUAUACCUGCAACCAAUUUUUAGGAUUAACAUUAACAUUAGUAGCAACAAUACCUGUAACUCUACACCAGUCAUAAACUUAAGUAAGAAUCAUCAACCUGGACAGCUGAUUUCUCCCCAUCAACCCCAUGACCUGGCCACUUCUCAUAGACCAUCUCCUAAGCAAAUAUUAACAAACUCCUGGUAUGUUGGACCUUGGUACAUUAUAAAUAAUCACCAUCCUUAGUCAACCAACGUUUUAGGGAAACUGUGAUACAUGAUCGUUAUAUACAGAUCAACAUCAAAUCAACGGCGUAACAGUUCUUGUUAGCCAACCUAAUUAACCAUCUCAUGAACAAUGGUACAACUAAUGAGCUCCACGAGCUGAUCCGUCAACUCUUUGCUACGUAUCAAAAUUGCUUGAGCUGUAGAAUUGUAUAUGCAAGGCAAGAUCUCGUCUAGAGCCGUGUUGCUUGCGGUUUUCUCUACUGAUACACUCCGGGCUACAUAUGUGUCUGUAGUUGCACUAAUGCUCAAAGAAGCACAUUAAAUUUUUUCAAUGAAAGAAGAAGCUAAUGAACUGUCAUGAGACAUAAUUUUGUAACAGAAGGAGUGUUCCGCUCAAGAUGAAUGUAACAGUCACCAAAAUUCAUCCACAAAUCACAUGGCUGCUGAAGAGGAAAAGAUUCAGAUAGUUCUUACUUAUGAAAGCGCAUAAAGAACGUUUCAAAGUUUAUACUAACGUGUAAACAAUGAUCUGCAUCCCAUAAAUUGAAGAAACUGGAAGAGAAUAUGAUUAGAAAAGAUCAUUAGAGUUAAUACAGUAGUUGACAGUUGAGAAACAUUUGGUGGAAGAUGAUGAGCUUGUGGGAGUUAUACAACAGCUCGACUUUCAAAACUUAAAAACAUUUCAAAAGAUACAGAUUAGUGACUUACGGAGACCACGACAUGUCAAGGUAAGCAUAGUGAUUGAAUCUAUGAUAUGCGCCACCCUCUUGCAGUAAAGAUGAUGACCUGUUACACAUGUUUUCAAGAUAUUAACACAAGGCUUCUGUAACAAAUAGUUUUGGAGUUUUCUUACACGGAGAAAGUUUCUUAUGUCACUGGAACUAAGAGAUCAAUCUGCUUCAGUUUCACUCGUUUCACAAAUCCGAGCAGCCGCACAAACAACUGCCAGCCUUCAAAUCGGAGAAAAAAUACUAUAAGUAUACUAAGAGAGAUAUAGAAGAUGGUUUUGAGAGGAUGAAAAUAUACCUUUUUAUAUCCGCAGAUACACCGCCUCUCAGAAGACAACGCACACAUUGAGGUAGAGAUGGCUAAAGGAGUCAAGAACAUGUUUAGAGGUUGAACAUUAAAAUCUCUCUGCCAUAGAUACAGAACAGUUACGCUGGUUGUUGGUCCCGAACAAUCCAAGAUCUGAACUUUCUAUGUUAUAACAUAAACAAUAGUUAGAAUGUAAAGAGAAUUCUAGCAAGAGAAAGAAUAUGAAGAAAGAGCUAGUAAUAGCAUAUGCAGCGGCAAUUAAAUCUAGGACACGUAUUACACUUACUAACUCUCUCAAACACAACAAUGGUGUGCUGGUGGUUGAAAAAUAACAAAAGUACUGAGAAUGCAAGCAACAUACAGAACAUGAAGAAGGAGCUGCAAUUCCAAUUACAUAAGGUUUCCAAAAUUCAGAACUCAAUAUCCAAACCAGGCAAUCAGAUACUAAGUAUUUCUAUUUAAUAUGAAAGAUUAUGCACCAAUCCGAUUUGAAUCAACGAUUUUUUAAAGGUAUAUGAAGCAGAAGCAGAAGCAGAAUCAGAGAAUAGAGAGUGACCAUGUUGAGCAAUGAAUCUUACAUUAACCGAGAUCGAUGCAGAGAUUCCUCACUAACACUCAUCUCACACAACCUUUUCCCCUCCAUUGUUGGUUGACCGUAUCAGAGCUUGCUGUAGAGGACGAUGAACCCUAGAAACAAACGUGGACAGUCAUAAAGAAGGCGAAGGUCAGAAGGGGAAGGAAAGAAAGGAAGAAGACAUAACCUCAGGUCGAAGAUUCACAAAGCAAUUCUCAUGUGGAUUGAAGAUAUCGAAACUCAUAGCUGUAUCAGAGAUCGAAAGAGAAGAUUGUUUUAAUUGCGGAAGAACAGCAAACCCUAGAAAAUCUUGCGGCUGUCUCUCUAUCUUCGGGCUGAAUCACGUGAAAACACAUAAUUGAAACGAUGAGUUUUUCUCUUGGGACACGUGUCGCUACAACAUAAAACGAAUUAUCUAUGUGGCAUCCUAUGUGGACACUCUAGGAGAGAA
RNAcentral lists this long non-coding RNA (2846 nucleotides) under Brassica rapa (field mustard). Its description in RNAcentral is "long non-coding RNA (BRAP_LNC007494)". The record is from RNAcentral. Lineage: Eukaryota; Viridiplantae; Streptophyta; Magnoliopsida; Brassicales; Brassicaceae.